Molecule: ribosomal RNA, 325 nt
Filed under: uncultured eukaryote
Lineage: Eukaryota
Description: partial 18S ribosomal RNA
Rfam family: Eukaryotic small subunit ribosomal RNA
Source: RNAcentral
CCCUUAGAUGUUCUGGGCUGCACGCGCGCUACACUGCUGCAAUUAACGGGUUUUCUGUACCGAAAGGCUUGGGGAAUCCUUUGAAUAUGCGGCGUGAUAGGGAUAGAAUAUUGUAAUUAUUACUCUUCAACGAGGAAUGCCUAGUAAGCGCAAGUCAUCAGCUUGCGUUGAUUACGUCCCUGCCCUUUGUACACACCGCCCGUCGCUCCUACCGAUUGAAUGGUCCGGUGAAGCGUUCGGACCGUGGCCUUUGGACGGUUCGCCGUCUGUUGGCUGCGGGAAGUUCGUUAAACCUUAUCAUUUAGAGGAAGGAGAAGUCGUANCA